Molecule: ribosomal RNA, 508 nt
Filed under: Paucilactobacillus vaccinostercus
Lineage: Bacteria; Bacillati; Bacillota; Bacilli; Lactobacillales; Lactobacillaceae
Description: bacterial SSU rRNA
Rfam family: Bacterial small subunit ribosomal RNA
Source: RNAcentral
GCUGGCGGUGUGCCUAAUACAUGCAAGUCGUACGCAUUCCCGUUUUUGAUUGAAGGUGCUUGCACCUGAUUGAUAAAACAUCGGAAUGAGUGGCGGACGGGUGAGUAACACGUGGGUAACCUGCCCAGAAGUGGGGGAUAACAUUUGGAAACAGAUGCUAAUACCGCAUAAUAGAUAGAACCACAUGGUUCUAUUUUGAAAGAUGGCCUUUGUGCUAUCACUUCUGGAUGGACCCGCGGUGUAUUAGCUAGUUGGUAAGGUAACGGCUUACCAAGGCAAUGAUACAUAGCCGAACUGAGAGGUUGAUCGGCCACAAUGGGACUGAGACACGGCCCAUACUCCUACGGGAGGCAGCAGUAGGGAAUCUUCCACAAUGGGCGCAAGCCUGAUGGAGCAACACCGCGUGAGUGAAGAAGGGUUUCGGCUCGUAAAACUCUGUUGUUAAAGAAGAACGUAUCUAAGAGUAACUGCUUAGGUAGUGACGGUAUUUAACCAGAAAGCCACGGCU